RNAcentral lists this ribosomal RNA (327 nucleotides) under uncultured eukaryote. RNAcentral describes it as "partial 18S ribosomal RNA". It matches the Rfam family "Eukaryotic small subunit ribosomal RNA", at positions 1470 to 1796 of the family's 1831-position model. The record is from RNAcentral.
CCCUUAGAUGUUCUGGGCUGCACGCGCGCUACACUGAUGCGUUCAACGAGUGUAUCACCUUGCCCGAUAGGGUAGGGUAAUCUUUUGAACACGCAUCGUGAUGGGGAUAGAUUAUUGCAAUUAUUAAUCUUCAACGAGGAAUUCCUAGUAAUGAUGAAUCAUCAGUUCGUCGUGAUUACGUCCCUGCCCUUUGUACACACCGCCCGUCGCUCCUACCGAUUGAGCAAUCCGGUGAAUACUUCGGACCGUUUAUGGAAUUGGUUCGCCAAAUCCACGAAUGGAAAGUCGAGUGAACCUUNUNGCUUAUNGGAAGGAGAANUCGUANCA